This 35-nucleotide ribosomal RNA is filed under the name Iresine latifolia. RNAcentral's name for it is "26S ribosomal RNA". RNAcentral also lists the same sequence under 1 other name. Lineage: Eukaryota; Viridiplantae; Streptophyta; Magnoliopsida; Caryophyllales; Amaranthaceae. The record is from RNAcentral.
GACCCCAGGUCAGGCGGGGUUACCCGCUGAGUUUA